UACGAAGGGGGCUAGCGUUGCUCGGAAUCACUGGGCGUAAAGCGCACGUAGGCGGCUUGUUAAGUCAGGGGUGAAAUCCUGGAGCUCAACUCCAGAACUGCCUUUGAUACUGGCGAGCUUGAGUUCGGGAGAGGUGAGUGGAACUGCGAGUGUAGAGGUGAAAUUCGUAGAUAUUCGGCAAGAACACCAGUGGCGAAGGCGGCUCACUGGCCCGAUACUGACGCUGAGGUGCGAAAGCGUGGGGAGCAAACAGGG
This 255-nucleotide ribosomal RNA is filed under the name uncultured bacterium. RNAcentral describes it as "partial 16S ribosomal RNA". It matches the Rfam family "Bacterial small subunit ribosomal RNA", at positions 524 to 777 of the family's 1533-position model. The record is from RNAcentral.